AUAAGCUGAACAGGAGUGCACCCACGAACGGUUUGGCAGGACAUUUUUCUACAUACAGCGUUUACCAAAUUGAAGCAUCCUCAAGUACAGCUUAUGAAACAUUUUUUAUCGCUUGGUAGGGGCAUCUAAAUGGAUGUGGAGGCCUGACCCGUGAUUUUACGUUUUCGAGAUGGACGAGGCAAGUAUAGGGAAACAGAAAUAACGGUUGCAACUGACGGGAUCUCGUCUAUAGCCUGCUUGAUCGACCGAACUUGAUAAUAUUGUCGUUACGGUGUUAGAUCCGUUGAAGGUGAUAGGGAAGGCCGCAAGCCGGACAAGAGUGAUCGUUGGUCAAGUGUCUGUGUCUGGCCUACUAUGACUACUGGUCUAUCAAUGAUGGAUAGUUUCGGCUUCAGCCAUGCCAUAUUUCCUCGUAUUCCCAGCUUCAUUUCUUCUAAGGCUUGAGGACAAGAACUGGUUUACUUAAGGCUACCUUAAAUGGACAUGUCCUGCAAAUCGGUUAUAGCUAAUAACCGUUUCAUAUAUGAGUAAUGAUAUAUGAUUCGAAAUCCUUUAGGCACAUAGGAGAAGUUCUACGUUGUGUCUCUUAAUUUCAACUGAACCUGUGAAAGCGAGAUAAUAAAAUAAUUCUAAAAAAAAUGUUUUUCAAGAUGAAAAAUGCGCUGAAACUUCAUCAA
Molecule: long non-coding RNA, 677 nt
Organism: Varroa destructor (honeybee mite)
Lineage: Eukaryota; Metazoa; Arthropoda; Arachnida; Mesostigmata; Varroidae
Source: RefSeq, a predicted model, not a curated record